RNAcentral lists this long non-coding RNA (783 nucleotides) under Micromonas commoda. RNAcentral describes it as "long non-coding RNA (MCOM_LNC000189)". Lineage: Eukaryota; Viridiplantae; Chlorophyta; Mamiellophyceae; Mamiellales; Mamiellaceae. The record is from RNAcentral.
CUCGGUGUCGACUGGUCUUAUUCGACGUGUCGACGCGCCGCUCGGUCUGAUAAUUCUCAAAUCGCAACCCUCGCCUAGCGGCCGGCCUGGCCGACUUGAUUCGAGGCCGAGGCCGGAUUUAUAUAGAACCCCGCGGCCCGCGAAGCAAUCGCACUUGUGCACGCGCCAGCGUCCCACCCGAGCCCCGUCUCGAGGUAGCAGGCUUCUAUCACACGCAUUUGCGAGUGAUUUAGCGUCCCGCGCAACCUAGCGUCGGCCACAAAGCGAGUCAGCGGCGGUUGUUCCGUCCCGUCCGUCUCGGAUCAAUUCUCGCCGAACUUUACGUUCGUCAAUCAGCAUCGGAGGAUGAUGGCAGACGACAAGUCCAACCCCACCUUCGUGAUCAUCGGCAUCGUCGUCGCGAUCGUGGCAAUCUUCUUCAUCGGUAACAUUGUCGCGUGAGUACUUACCCGGACGACAUUCUUUUCGCCAAUCAGCCGGGCAGCCGUCGCGUACCCCGAUCCCGAACGCGUAAAAUUGGACGAUGACAUAAUUUGACGAAAUUCCUCCCAAACUCCCGUUUCACCACCAGGUACCAAUACGCGCAGAAGAUGUUCCCGCCCAAGCCCAAGAAGAAGAUGGGCGCCAAGAAGACCAAGAGGAUGCUGCUCAAGCGCGGCGUGCAGCCCGCCGGGGAGUAGACUAACCGCUCGUAAUUUCGACAAGACUAUCUCUCCGUAAACGCGUCGGGUCUCGCUGGACGUCUCACUUGACAUCCUCGAGCAUCCACGGGCUCGUCAGCGG